This 73-nucleotide transfer RNA is filed under the name Trichonephila clavata. It matches the Rfam family "tRNA". From Rfam's summary of the family: Transfer RNA (tRNA) molecules are approximately 80 nucleotides in length. Their secondary structure includes four short double-helical elements and three loops (D, anti-codon, and T loops). Lineage: Eukaryota; Metazoa; Arthropoda; Arachnida; Araneae; Nephilidae. The record is from Rfam by way of RNAcentral.
GUCUCUGUAGCGCAAUGAAUAGCGCGUUGGACUUCUCAUCCAAAGCUCGUAGAUUCGAAUCCUAUCUGAAAUG